Molecule: ribosomal RNA, 433 nt
Filed under: uncultured bacterium
Lineage: Bacteria
Description: partial 16S ribosomal RNA
Rfam family: Bacterial small subunit ribosomal RNA
Source: RNAcentral
AACGAACGCUGGCGGCAUGCCUAACACAUGCAAGUCGAACGAGACCUUCGGGUCUAGUGGCGCACGGGUGCGUAACGCGUGGUAACCUGCCCUUAGGUUCGGAAUAACUCCCCGUAAGGGGUGCUAAUACCGGAUAAUUUCUUCGGACCAAAGAUUUAUCGCCUUUGGAUGGGCCCGCGUUGGAUUAGCUAGUUGGUAGGGUAAAAGCCUACCAAGGCGACGAUCCAUAGCUGGUCUGAGAGGAUGAUAAGCCACACUGGGACUGAGACACGGCCCAGACUCCUACGGGAGGCAGCAGUGGGGAAUAUUGGAAAAUGGGCGAAAGCCUGAUCCAGCAAUGCCGCGUGAGUGAUGAAGGCCUUAGGGUUGUAAAGCUCUUUUAAACGGGAUGAUAAUGACAGUACCGGGAGAAUAAGCUCCGGCUAACUCCGUG